This 468-nucleotide ribosomal RNA is filed under the name uncultured bacterium. Its description in RNAcentral is "partial 16S ribosomal RNA". It matches the Rfam family "Bacterial small subunit ribosomal RNA", at positions 28 to 507 of the family's 1533-position model. The record is from RNAcentral.
GACGAACGCUGGCGGCGUGCUUAACACAUGCAAGUCGAACGGAAAGGCCCUGCUUUUGUGGGGUGCUCGAGUGGCGAACGGGUGAGUAACACGUGAGUAACCUGCCCUUGACUUUGAGAUAACUUCAGGAAACUGGGGCUAAUACCGGAUAGGAGCUCCUGCUGCAUGGUGGGGGUUGGAAAGUUUCGGCGGUUGGGGAUGGACUCGCGGCUUAUCAGCUUGUUGGUGGUGUAGUGGCUUACCAAGGCUUUGACGGGUAGCCGGCCUGAGAGGGUGACCGGCCACAUUGGGACUGAGAUACGGCCCAGACUCCUACGGGAGGCAGCAGUGGGGAAUAUUGCACAAUGGGCGGAAGCCUGAUGCAGCAACGCCGCGUGCGGGAUGACGGCCUUCGGGUUGUAAACCGCUUUCGCCUGUGACGAAGCGUGAGUGACGGUAAUGGGUAAAGAAGCACCGGCUAACUACGUG